CUCGCUCUCUCUCCUCUCUCUGUGCGCCUGUUUCUCUCUUCCCGCAUCUGGAAGAUGACUAGGAAGAAAAAUAAAAGUACCCCGGUGACAUCAAUGAAAAUCCUCAAAGAGGAACCGACCUCAGUUCCAACUUUCAGUUGUUUUAGCAAAGUAAAUCCUCCAAGGUACAACAUGCUUCCAACCGAGACAGAUCUUCAUCUUCCAAAAAGAGAAGGUACAUCCGUUGCUUACGAACUAGAACUUGCUAGUGAAGAACUUGUUGUCAACGCUUUAGUGGAGUGCGAAUCCCAGCCGCCGAACGUGAUUGCCCAUCUCGCUCCUCUCAAGC
Molecule: long non-coding RNA, 328 nt
Organism: Raphanus sativus (radish)
Lineage: Eukaryota; Viridiplantae; Streptophyta; Magnoliopsida; Brassicales; Brassicaceae
Exons: 3
Source: RefSeq, a predicted model, not a curated record